RNAcentral lists this ribosomal RNA (473 nucleotides) under uncultured bacterium. Its description in RNAcentral is "partial 16S ribosomal RNA". It matches the Rfam family "Bacterial small subunit ribosomal RNA", at positions 28 to 507 of the family's 1533-position model. The record is from RNAcentral.
GGUGAACGCUGGCGGCGUGCCUAAGACAUGCAAGUCGAGCGGGCCGCGGGGUUUUACUCCGUGGUCAGCGGCGGACGGGUGAGUAACGCGUGGGUGACCUACCCGGAAGAGGGGGACAACCCGGGGAAACUCGGGCUAAUCCCCCAUGUGGACCCGCCCCUUGGGGUGUGUCCAAAGGGCUUUGCCCGCUUCCGGAUGGGCCCGCGUCCCAUCAGCUAGUUGGUGGGGUAAUGGCCCACCAAGGCGACGACGGGUAGCCGGCCUGAGAGGGUGGCCGGCCACAGGGGCACUGGGACCCGGGCCCCACUCCCACGGGAGGCAGCAGUUAGGAAUCUUCCGGAAUGGGCGCAAGCCGGACGGGGCGGCGCCGCUUGGAGGGAGAAGGCCUUCGGGGUGUAAACUCCUGAACCCGGGACGAAACCCCCGACGAGGGGACUGACGGUACCGGGGUAAUAGCGCCGGCCAACUCCGUG